ACGAACGCUGGCGGCGUGCUUAACACAUGCCAGUCGAACGGUGAAGGGAUCAGCUUGCUGGUUCUGGAUGAGUGGCGAACGGGUGAGUAACACGUGAGUAACCUGCCCCCUUCUUCUGGAUAACCGCAUGAAAGUGUGGCUAAUACGGGAUAUUCUGCGCCUGCUGCAUGGUGGGUGUGGGAAAGAUAUUGUUUCGGUGGGGGAUGGGCUCGCGGCCUAUCAGCUUGUUGGUGGGGUGAUGGCCUACCAAGGCGGUGACGGGUAGCCGGCCUGAGAGGGUGGACGGUCACACUGGGACUGAGACACGGCCCAGACUCCUACGGGAGGCAGCAGUGGGGAAUAUUGCACAAUGGGCGCAAGCCUGAUGCAGCGACGCCGCGUGAGGGAGGGAGGCCUUCGGGGUGUGAACCUCUUUCGCCAGUGAAGCAGGCCUGUCCCUUGUGGGUGGGUUGACGGUAGCUGGAUAAGAAGCGCCGGCUAACUACGUG
RNAcentral lists this ribosomal RNA (488 nucleotides) under uncultured bacterium. RNAcentral's name for it is "partial 16S ribosomal RNA". It matches the Rfam family "Bacterial small subunit ribosomal RNA", at positions 29 to 507 of the family's 1533-position model. The record is from RNAcentral.